CUCAGGCACUUUAUUUAUUGAAAGACCGUACAUAAUCUGAGUGCACAACCGCACUCAGAAUGUCAGAGAUAACAUCAAAUGUUACAAUGCAUUUCAGUGGAGAGACCUUGCUUGCUAGCACAUGAGCUGCUUCAUUCACUUCUCUUCCACUGAACUUUAAAUCGAAUCCCCGGAAGAACGAGAGAUAUGAGGACAUCUCUCUAAAGAUUGAACCACAAACUGAUCGGUGCCUUCCUGUAUUCCAGUCAUCUAUCACUGUUUUGCAGUCAAAAAUAACCUCAAUUCUAG
Molecule: long non-coding RNA, 288 nt
Filed under: Hordeum vulgare
Lineage: Eukaryota; Viridiplantae; Streptophyta; Magnoliopsida; Poales; Poaceae
Description: long non-coding RNA (HVUL_LNC019636)
Source: RNAcentral